Molecule: long non-coding RNA, 753 nt
Organism: Homarus americanus (American lobster)
Lineage: Eukaryota; Metazoa; Arthropoda; Malacostraca; Decapoda; Nephropidae
Exons: 2
Source: RefSeq, a predicted model, not a curated record
UAUUAUUAUUAGUAAUUAUGAUAAAACUAUUGUCAUUAUUAAUAGUAGUUAUUACAAUACUCAUCAAUACAAUAGUUAAGACCCUUAACUACAAUAGUACAAUACAGUAGUGAGAAAGUACAGUACACACCUGUCUUGCCUGUACAACCCUUCAGUACCGCACAGAGCACAAGCAUCACAUUAACCUGCCCCGAGAUGUACUUAGAUGAUAUUAACCUAACUUAACCUAACCUUACCUAACCUAACCUAACCUAACUUAACCUAACCUAACCUAACCUAACCUAGAGCAUAGCACCUUAAGUAACCUGUAGAGCUUUGUUAGGGAUAUAUUACAAUGCUCUGUUCCUAUAUAGCAUUAGUAGACAGCAAGUAUUUCACGUGUACAGUUAGGUUGAUUCUAUACAACUAGAAUAGGUAAACAAACAUGACGUAAUCAGUGACGUCAUGAUAGGUAAACAAACAUGACGUAAUCAGUGACGUCAUGAUAGGUAAACAAACGUGACGUAAUCAGUGACGUCAUGACAUAACCCCCCCCCUUUCCCUAUAAACAAGACAUGUCCGUAUGUAUGAAUGUAUGUAAAAAUAAUACAUAUAUGACAGAAAAUACACAUAUAUAAGAAGAGAUGUACACGUAUAUAUGUAUAGAUUUAUAAGCACUAAAGCUGGAGGGUAUAACAGGUAGAGGUGGGAUAUUAACCUACCUUUAAUUAACAGGUGUACAACUGUUCAUUAUUAAUAAAAACUUCAGCACAA